AGAACGAACGCUGGCGGCAUGCCUAAUACAUGCAAGUCGAACGAACUCUUCGGAGUUAGUGGCGCACGGGUGCGUAACGCGUGGGAAUCUGCCCCUUGGUUCGGAAUAACAGUUGGAAACGACUGCUAAUACCGGAUGAUGACGAAAGUCCAAAGAUUUAUCGCCAAGGGAUGAGCCCGCGUAGGAUUAGCUAGUUGGUGAGGUAAAGGCUCACCAAGGCAACGAUCCUUAGCUGGUCUGAGAGGAUGAUCAGCCACACUGGGGACUGAGACACGGCCCAGACUCCUACGGGNGGCAGCAGGUGGGGAAUAUUGGACAAUGGGGCGAAAGCCUGAUCCAGCAAUGCCGCG
This 350-nucleotide ribosomal RNA is filed under the name uncultured soil bacterium. Its description in RNAcentral is "bacterial SSU rRNA". It matches the Rfam family "Bacterial small subunit ribosomal RNA", at positions 26 to 401 of the family's 1533-position model. The record is from RNAcentral.